AACAGAUUAGUUAAAAACUCAUUUGAAACGGUGGCAAGUUGCAUCAAGUUCCGACUCCUCCCCUGAUCUUAGUCUGCAUGGAUUCAGCGCGUUUUUCAAUCCACAGUGGCGCCGAGCAGAGCGAACAUCAGAGAGUACAAGAUGGAUAUACAACAUUUUUUUGUUGUGCGGGAGUAGGUCUGCAAAUGAGCAACAGUCAGGUGAGAAUAGAACAGACAGCCUCACACACACACACAAUACCACUGUGUUCCCAAGAUUCAUUGCAGUCAUUGAACCCUUAUGUUGUUUUAAUAUUCUGCCGAUUUCCACGUACAUUUCAUAAGAAAAACCAGUGGUAUCAUCAAAGGAUAAACAUGAAUGUCCUAAUACUGAAUCAGUUAGUCUUUAUUGUAAAAAAAAAAAAAAAUCUACAUUCCCAAUUCAAAAUUUUCCAGUGACUGGUCACAUCUAAAAAAACUGUAUUAGUUUUUUUUACAGUGUUGUAUAUGGCUCAGUCAGUACUCCUACUCCCAUAUAUGAAAUACAGGAAAUACAAUGGAAUAGUGGAUUGCAAUAAGGUUAGUAGUAUACAACCCUACCCUAAUAGUCAAAUAAUAUUUUUUAAUCAUACCCUUAUUGGGGGCUGAGCCCCCCUAAAAUGAAAAUCUUAGAAUCGCCCCUGGUCCGCAACCUAAAUAAAAGAGGAUACUUGACGGGCAGAGGUCAGGAACCGGAGUCCAGAAACAGGGUAUCAAAGAGUCACAACAGUUCUCCGUCCUGCGUCCGGUGCUAACCACUCGCAGAUGGCAGGUGAGUGAAGGUCCACUGGAUGGAGGUGAACUGGGCAGAGAACAAAGAGAGUGAUCGGCUCUUACUCACGUAACUACAGGACAGGACAAAACAAGACAAGACAAGACAAGGCUAGGGUAUACUCCAGAGGAAAAAGCUGAAGAGGUCGUAACUGAAAAACAGAGCGUAUACUCAACGUUCAACAAUAAUCCGACAAAAGACAGAGCAAACAGUGACUAGAAGUAGCCGAGGGAAUUAGAGAGAGAAAAGGAUCAGGUGAGAGAUAAUCAGUGUAAGUGUUGAUUCUAAAGGGAAACAGCUGCGAGAGAGGAGGAGAAACAUGAAUGGGAAUGAUUAGUGUGUGUGCAGCGUGAGCGCUGAGAUAAUAGUAAUCAGCUGUAUGAGUGUGCGUGUGUGUGAAUGAAGGUAAGCAAAACAGGAGGAAGGGACCGGUUAUGACAGCGUUAACGCAAUAAAAACACGUGUGUGAAUGAAGGUAAGCAAAACAGGAGGAAGGGACCGGUUAUGACAGCGUUAACGCAAUAAAAACAUGUUAACUUGCAAAAUAGAAAAACCAACAUGACAAAGAAAAUUAUGUUAUUUCUAAAAAAAAUAAAAAUAAAAAAUAAAUGAAAUUGUUUCAACUAUAUUGUCUUGAAAAUCUAGAAAAAUGAUUUUGACAGCUUCCUUGGCGAUUUAAGGUAUUCAAGAACUUAAGCAUUGUUUACCCAGCUAAGAAAUUAAUGUUCAAAGAAUGUUUUGGUAACA
This 1536-nucleotide long non-coding RNA is filed under the name Carassius auratus (goldfish). Its description in RNAcentral is "lncRNA (ENSCARG00000011271.1)". Lineage: Eukaryota; Metazoa; Chordata; Actinopteri; Cypriniformes; Cyprinidae. The record is from RNAcentral.